This 497-nucleotide ribosomal RNA is filed under the name uncultured bacterium. Its description in RNAcentral is "partial 16S ribosomal RNA". It matches the Rfam family "Bacterial small subunit ribosomal RNA", at positions 28 to 507 of the family's 1533-position model. The record is from RNAcentral.
GAUGAACGCUGGCGGCGUGCCUAAUACAUGCAAGUCGAGCGAACAGACGAGGAGCUUGCUCCUCUGACGUUAGCGGCGGACGGGUGAGUAACACGUGGAUAACCUACCUAUAAGACUGGGAUAACUUCGGGAAACCGGAGCUAAUACCGGAUAAUAUAUUGAACCGCAUGGUUCAAUAGUGAAAGACGGUUUUGCUGUCACUUAUAGAUGGAUCCGCGCCGCAUUAGCUAGUUGGUAAGGUAACGGCUUACCAAGGCAACGAUGCGUAGCCGACCUGAGAGGGUGAUCGGCCACACUGGAACUGAGACACGGUCCAGACUCCUACGGGAGGCAGCAGUAGGGAAUCUUCCGCAAUGGGCGAAAGCCUGACGGAGCAACGCCGCGUGAGUGAUGAAGGUCUUCGGAUCGUAAAGCUCUGUUAUUAGGGAAGAACAAAUGUGUAAGAAACUAUGCACGUCUUGACGGUACCUAAACAGAAAGCCACGGCUAACUACGUG